AAUCAAACAAAACAGCACCACCGUCUGGUUGUAGCAGGUAUUACACAACGGAAAUCGGUUUGUUGUCUUCCUGUUUCUAGAUGUGUGUCGCGGUAUGAAGUUGAUCGCAUGCUAUUGCACGGUCUAUGGACAGUAACGGUUUAUCUACAUUGUGUCAUGUCAUGAUUAUUUAUGCCCGCGGUAAAUCACGGAUCGCUACAUCGACGUGGUGUUACAUUGUUACUAAAAUAACCGGACUUGCACGUGGUUGGUGCUACAUUUCAAAGGCAACCAACUCACGAGGUGACGUUACUGUCCAGUAGUGCAACAACUUGAAAUGAUUGUCUGACAUUCGCUCAGAUAUUGAGUGAAAGGAUGCUGAGAACACUUUUAACAGCUGUCCGCGGUCCUGCGGUCUGCGUGGGUCGGUGUUUCAGCAGUGAAGUGAGUGGUGCAGAUUCCACGUUACCCGGUUUCUCCUCUCCACCGUUCUCAACGGAGGCUUCACUCUAUGUUCACUGGCCUUACUGUCUGAAGAGAUGCUCCUACUGUAACUUCAACAAGUACAUCCCUCGCUCUGACAACCAGGAUGUCAUGUUGGAGUGUCUCCAGCAGGAGACGGAGACCUUACUAAAGCUCAGCCAGGUGUCCCGGAUCACCUCUGUGUUUUUUGGAGGCGGGACUCCCAGCCUGGCCCGCCCCUCCACUAUCGCUGCGGUCCUAGAGACGGUUGCCAGGCACGCUGGACUAUCAGAGGAGGCGGAGGUCACUCUGGAGGUCAACCCCACCCCCGUAGGAAGCUCUAAGUUGGAGGACUUCCUCCAUGCUGGCGUCAACCGUUUUUCCAUCGGGGUGCAGUCUCUCCGGGACGACGACCUGAAGGUUCUGGGGAGAGACCAUAACUCCCAGCAUGCUUUGCAGACCGUAGCGGAGGCUCGGAGGCUCUGCCCGGGGAGGGUGUCUGUCGACGUCAUGUUCGGACGCCCUGGUCAGAGCGUUGCAUCCUGGGAGUUGGAGUUGGAUGAGCUGCUGUCGGUGUGUGAUGACCAUGUCUCCCUGUACCAGCUGACCCUGGAGAGAGGCACACAGCUGUUCAGACAGGUCCAGAAAGGCCAACUGAGCGUGCCCAGUGAUGACAUCACAACUGUCAUGUAUGACUCUGCCAGGAGGAUUCUUCAGAAGAGAGGCUAUCUGCAGUACGAGGUGUCCAACUUUGCCAGAAAUGAUGCCAUCAGCCAACACAAUAUGAGCUACUGGAAGGCCAGUCAGUACCUUGGAGUGGGCCCAGGUGCCCAUGGUCGCUUCGUCCCCUGUGGAGAGGGGGAUGUGUGUCGAGAGGCCCGUACCCAGACUCUGGAGCCUGAUGUCUGGUUGAGAGAGGUGCAGCAGAGGAGUCACGGGACUCGACGCAGGAUACCCCUCACCCACCUGGGACUAUUGGAGGAAGUGUUGGUCAUGGGACUGCGUUUGAUUGACGGCGUCACUCACCAGCAUUGGCAGUUGUUCAGUCCCAGGGCAGAUCUUUACCAGAUUCUCAGCUCAUCCUCUGAAGUACAAGACCUUCAACAGACAGGUAACCCAGACCUUCAACAGACAGGUCUUGUAAUCCUGGAUGACAGGUAA
RNAcentral lists this long non-coding RNA (1602 nucleotides) under Oncorhynchus mykiss (rainbow trout). Its description in RNAcentral is "lncRNA (ENSOMYG00000060500.1)". Lineage: Eukaryota; Metazoa; Chordata; Actinopteri; Salmoniformes; Salmonidae. The record is from RNAcentral.